RNAcentral lists this ribosomal RNA (459 nucleotides) under uncultured bacterium. RNAcentral's name for it is "partial 16S ribosomal RNA". It matches the Rfam family "Bacterial small subunit ribosomal RNA", at positions 338 to 795 of the family's 1533-position model. The record is from RNAcentral.
CCUACGGGAGGCAGCAGUGAGGAAUAUUGGUCAAUGGCCGGAAGGCUGAACCAGCCAAGCCGCGUGAAGGACGAAGGUGCUAAGGAUUGUAAACCUCUUUUGCCGAGGGACAAAAAGAGGCACGAGAGCCGGCACGAGGGUACCCGAAGAAAAAGCAUCGGCUAACUCCGUGCCAGCAGCCGCGGUAAUACGGAGGAUGCGAGCGUUAUCCGGAUUUAUUGGGUUUAAAGGGUGCGUAGGCGGACGGUUAAGUCAGCGGUAAAAGGCCGGGGCUCAACCCCGGCCAGCCGUUGAAACUGGGUGUCUUGAGUGGGCGAGAGGUAUGCGGAAUGCGCGGUGUAGCGGUGAAAUGCUUAGAUAUUGCGCAGAACUCCGAUUGCGAAGGCAGCGUACCGGCGGCGAACUGACGCUGAGGCACGAAAGCGUGGGUAUCGAACAGGAUUAGAUACCCUUGUAGUC